Long non-coding RNA from Sphaeramia orbicularis (orbiculate cardinalfish), 194 nucleotides. RefSeq lists it as uncharacterized. The record is from RefSeq and is a predicted model, not a curated record. The transcript has 3 exons. NCBI's taxonomy places the organism in Eukaryota, Metazoa, Chordata, Actinopteri, Kurtiformes, Apogonidae.
CAAACUGCUUUUAGUUCAGGGGCCACAUUCACCCCAGUAUGAUCUCAGGUGGGCCAGACCAGUAAAAGAAUCACAGUGAAAAAAGAAAAACGACAUUGUGAUAAUGUUUACAGUGUUUCCAUAAAAAUCUGAACAACUUGAACAACUUGAAAUGUCUCAAGAAAAACAAGUGCAAUUUCAACAAUAUUCUACCU